Molecule: non-coding RNA, 234 nt
Filed under: bovine gut metagenome
Source: RNAcentral
GAACUAAUAAUUCGAAGUGUAGAAUGAUAGGGUAACGCCUUGAAAUGCACUCCAUAAUACUCCGACAUGCGUGUGUAAGGGAAACCUGACAUGUAUGAAGCUCGGUGAAGUCGGCUGAAAUGACCUAAGUUGUCGAAACGGACAAGUAGUGUUGGUAUAAAAGUGGCUAGAGCCCGCCUGCAUGAAAGAAAGAAAGUAGACAAUAUGGUUUAUGAUAGGCCGGUGGUCCAUAAA